AUUGAACGCUGGCGGCAGGCCUAACACAUGCAAGUCGAACGGUAGCACAGAGAGCUUGCUCUCGGGUGACGAGUGGCGGACGGGUGAGUAAUGUCUGGGAAACUGCCUGAUGGAGGGGGAUAACUACUGGAAACGGUAGCUAAUACCGCAUAACGUCGCAAGACCAAAGAGGGGGACCUUCGGGCCUCUUGCCAUCAGAUGUGCCCAGAUGGGAUUAGCUAGUAGGUGGGGUAACGGCUCACCUAGGCGACGAUCCCUAGCUGGUCUGAGAGGAUGACCAGCCACACUGGAACUGAGACACGGUCCAGACUCCUACGGGAGGCAGCAGUGGGGAAUAUUGCACAAUGGGCGCAAGCCUGAUGCAGCCAUGCCGCGUGUAUGAAGAAGGCCUUCGGGUUGUAAAGUACUUUCAGCGGGGAGGAAGGCGAUAAGGUUAAUAACCUUGUCGAUUGACGUUACCCGCAGAAGAAGCACCGGCUAACUCCGUGCCAGCCGCCGCGGUAA
This 504-nucleotide ribosomal RNA is filed under the name uncultured bacterium. Its description in RNAcentral is "partial 16S ribosomal RNA". It matches the Rfam family "Bacterial small subunit ribosomal RNA", at positions 30 to 523 of the family's 1533-position model. The record is from RNAcentral.